UGGGGAAUAUUGCACAAUGGGCGCAAGCCUGAUGCAGCAACGCCGCGUGAACGAUGAAGGUCUUCGGAUCGUAAAGUUCUGUUGCAGGGGAAGAUAAUGACGGUACCCUGCGAGGAAGCCCCGGCUAACUACGUGCCAGCAGCCGCGGUAAUACGUAGGGGGCUAGCGUUAUCCGGGUUUACUGGGCGUAAAGGGUGCGUAGGUGGUCUUUCAAGUCGGUGGUUAAAGGCUACGGCUCAACCGUAGUUAGCCUCCGAAACUGGAAGACUUGAGUGCAGGAGAGGAAAGUGGAAUUCCCGGUGUAGCGGUGAAAUGCGUAGAUAUUGGGAGGAAGACCAGUAGCGAAGGCGGCUUUCUGGACUGCAACUGACACUGAGGCACGAAAGCGUGGGUAGCAAACAGG
RNAcentral lists this ribosomal RNA (403 nucleotides) under Verrucomicrobiota bacterium. RNAcentral describes it as "Verrucomicrobia bacterium partial 16S ribosomal RNA". It matches the Rfam family "Bacterial small subunit ribosomal RNA", at positions 355 to 776 of the family's 1533-position model. Lineage: Bacteria; Pseudomonadati; Verrucomicrobiota. The record is from RNAcentral.